This 219-nucleotide ribosomal RNA is filed under the name Thalassionema nitzschioides. RNAcentral's name for it is "partial Bacterial large subunit ribosomal RNA". It matches the Rfam family "Bacterial large subunit ribosomal RNA", at positions 2099 to 2329 of the family's 2925-position model. Lineage: Eukaryota; Bacillariophyta; Fragilariophyceae; Thalassionematales; Thalassionemataceae. The record is from RNAcentral.
CUUUACUAUAGCUUAGUAUUGGUUUUGGAUAAGUAAUGUGUAGGAUAGGUGGGAGACUUCGACCCUGCGUCGCCAGGCGUGGGUGAGUCAUUGUUGAAAUACCACCCUUUGCUUAUCUAGAGUCUAACCUCUGAUCAGGGACAGUGCUUGGUGGGUAGUUUGACUGGGGUGGUCGCCUCCAAAAGAGUAACGGAGGCUUCUAAAGGUUCCCUCAGCACG